CGUGUAGGCGGUCAGGUAAGUGGGACGUGAAAUGCCUCGGCUCACCCGAGGAGCUGCGUCCCAAACUGCUUGGCUUGAGUAUGGGAGAGGAUGUGGGAAUUCCUGGUGUAGCAGUGAAAUGCGUAGAUAUCAGGAGGAACACCGGUGGCGAAGGCGCACAUCUGGCCCAAUACUGACGCUGAGGCGCGAAAGCUAGGGGAGCAAACG
This 207-nucleotide ribosomal RNA is filed under the name uncultured bacterium. RNAcentral's name for it is "partial 16S ribosomal RNA". It matches the Rfam family "Bacterial small subunit ribosomal RNA", at positions 568 to 774 of the family's 1533-position model. The record is from RNAcentral.